This 5972-nucleotide long non-coding RNA is filed under the name Hordeum vulgare. RNAcentral describes it as "long non-coding RNA (HVUL_LNC007060)". The record is from RNAcentral. Lineage: Eukaryota; Viridiplantae; Streptophyta; Magnoliopsida; Poales; Poaceae.
UGUAGGAUUGUUGACAUCAAGCAGAGAGAGAGAGAGAGAGAGAUAGAUAGAGAGAGAGCCUAUGUUGGCAAACAGAAGCACAUCGAAAAGUGUGCCAACAGUGGUCAUCUGGGCCAUACAGGAGCAAAUGUCUCAUCGUAGUCAUGACUGUAUGUUCUCACCAGUAGACGAGCUUUGUAAAGCUCUAGAGAAACAUCAUAGUCUCACCCUUGUGGGUCUAGUUACAAGUAAUGAGACGAGCAAGAGGAGGAAGGGAAAUGAGAUUCCACUAGCCGACAAGGUGAAGAGCAUUUGAUGCCAUCACAUGCUGCCAUUGUGGAUGAAAAAAAUGUCAUGAUAAGAAGUCUUCUUGUGAAGACCACCGCAAUAACUAACCAUAGCAGUCAAUAGGCAGAAGCGGGCGAGCUCGAAAGCCAUAAGUAGGCUGAUCUGGAGCUAUGUGUUGCCAACAGAAGAAGACAUAGUAGUUGUGGGAGAUGACUCAUUAUAAGAAUCAACAACACGCGAACAAUGAGUGUAGUAAAGUCAAGGAAGAUGAGCAAAAGAAGGAACAUGCAAGACAAACUGCCAAGAGUGCCUCGACUAUCGACUGGCAGGGAAGUUACAUUGACAGUAAAAACAUGAACAUGAGAAUCUAGAUGUGGAAUACCCAAGUGGUGGCUGCACGUAAAACCCCUGACAAAAUUCACCAUUAAAAAAGUCUUUGUUAACAUCAAGCCGAGACGGAGUGACGAAUAAAGGCCGCAACAAGAUGUGUGUGAACAAUUGUCGUAUGGCCCGCAUAAGCUGAAACUCUCAUCGUAAUUAGGACCAUGAUUCUACUGAAAGCCACGAGCCACAAGACGAGCUUUGUAAUGUUCAAGAGAACCAUCAGAACUAGUCUUAACCUUGUAGACGCAUCAAGUAAUGGGACGAACACGAGGAGGAAGGGACACAAUAUCCGAUGUGCUGAUGUGCUCAACAGUAGCAAUAUCCUCUACCAUGGCAAGGCGCUAUUUGGUAUGAAUAACAUCAAGAUAAGAAGUCUGCUCAAGAAAGUGGCGCCAACGUUUCAUAGCCUAAGGCGGUCCACAGGCAAAAGUGGACGAGGUCGCAAGCCAUAAGAAGACCGAGACGGAGAAGAUGGCACAUCAGUAGAUGCAUCCACAACACAUGAACGACGUGUAUAAAAGUGAGGCAAAUGUGGAAGAAUACGAGCAAUAAUCCCCGAGAUAAGCUCAGGUUAGCGAGACAAGGAAGUCACCGAUGAUGAAGGUUUAGAAUCCCGUGAUAAGCGAAGUGAGGAAAUCACAGGAGAUGAUGGUGCUGAAUCUGUAAUAAUUGGAGAAGCAGGAGCAGUACGAGGAAUGGAAUAGGGCUCAACUAUAGUGAUAAGAAUGUCGGGAAAAGUGAGGUAACACAUCCUCCACUAAAAAGGUCGGGGAUGAUGGUCAUACGUAGCAGGGACGAGACUCACUAAAAGUCAUACCGUGAGAAAUAGUCACCCGAUGACCAACCUGAUCCCAACAACAAUAUCUCUUAUGCUCAUUGUUGUAUCCUAGGAACACUCAACAUACUAAGUAGUAAGUUUGGUACAUUGACGAGAGGCAGUAAGGGCACAUCAAACACAACCAAACAAUUGAAGCGCUGAAUAAUCUGGAAACGAUCAAAUAGACUCGGAAGGAGAUGACCAUGGUGGAAGUGGAGACGCAUUCAACCCAAAAGUGUGGCGUAAGAGAGGCAGUGACCAUCCAAAAGUGUGGCGGAAGAGAGAGCAGUGACAUUGAACCUAUGAGCCGUCUCAAUAGUUGACGAUGCUUGCCCUCAGCUAUGCCAUUUCUGAGCAUGAGCACCAGGAUAAGAGAACUGAGCAAGAGCACCCUGCUCAACAAGGAUUGAGCGCAACAUCUUGGAGAUUUAUUCUCCACCGAGUCAUCACAGUAUACAAGAAUAGGCGUAGAGAGAUACUAUGUUGGCAAACGGAAGCCACAUCGAAAAGUGUGGCAAAAGUGGUCAGCUGGGCCAUACAGGAGCAAAUGUCUCAUCGUAGUCAUGACUAUAUGUUCUCACCACUAGAUGAGCUUUGUAAAGCUCUAGAGAAACAUCAUAGCCUCACCCUUUGAUGUCAUCACAUGCUGCCAUUAUGGAUGAGAAAACGUCAUGAUAAGAAGUCGUCUUGCGAAGAGCACCACAAUAACUAACCAUAGCAGUCAAAAGGCAGUAGCAGGCGAGCUCGAAAGCCAUAGUUAGGCUGAUCUGGAGCUAUGUGUUGCCAACAGAAGAAUACAUAGUAAUCGAGGGAGUUGACUCAUUAGAAGAAUCCACAACACGCGAACAGUGAGUGUAGUAAAGUCAAGGAAGACGAGCAAAAGAAGGAACAUGAAAAGAGAAACUGCCAAGAGUGCCUCGACUAUCGACAGGUAGGGAAGUUACCAGGAUAGGAGAACUGAGCAAGAGCACCGUGCUCAACAAGGAUUGAAUGCAACAUCUUGGAGAUUUAUUCUCCACCGGAGUCAUCACGGAAUACAAGAAUAGGCGUAGGGAACUUGGUGUGUGCCAUGGCAUCAAAACGCUUACACAUAUAAGACCUCACUACGAAAGGAAAUAAAGUAUAUCCAGGUGUGUUGAGAGAAGUCAUCUAUAAAUAUAGUACUAGCGAUAACCUCCUUUCGAGGCGAAAGGAGGUGGGUCCCAGACAUCAAAGUGAACAAAGGUUGAAAGGGUUGUUGAGACACUGUCUCGCUAUGAGCAUAAGGUAAGUAUAGCUGUUUAACAAGCCGACAACCCGGACAGUUUGGAGACAUCAUCGGAGACUGAUCCAAGAAGACCAUGUCAAACUAAGGAUGCGAGAUGAGAGCCACACAAGUGACCCCAGGCGACGAUGGCACUUCUAAGCAUAACUGCUAGACAAGGUAACAGAGGUGGAGAGACUAGCGGCUGUAGCAGCAGAGUCACUUGAUCCAGCAUCCUACGUGCCUGUGCGCUCUCCGUUACCCGCCGAUCCGGCUUGGUGUGCUUCUCCUGUUUGCGGGUUGUGUGCCACGCACUUGAUUAAGCACCCCACGUUCUCCUACAGUGCGCCCUUGACCCUGGCUUUAGGUAGCGCCGUGUCCUCGGCUUGCCGUGCAUAAUCCAGGUAUGCGCCAACUGUCCGAGCUCCUGCUCACCAUCGGUGUUGCUCGAGCGUGGGUUCUGGUGUCGCCCAUAAAGGGAACACGGGAUGUGGGAUUGAGACAGUUCACAUAGCAACCCACAGCAAGGCAAAGGAUGCCCAUCCAACUGGCAGGGAGCGGAGGUGGACCCAAAAAGGUGGAUGUUGACUCCAAGGAGUCUCAACAGUACGCUUGUCAGUAAGAGGAGCAAGAAGAUCCUGGAUAUACUUCUCUUAGCAAAUAAAGAAGCCAUCAAAGGUAGACUCAGGGAAGUAGCGAUGAGGACCAAGGUCAGACAUAAGAAACUCACUGUGACGAGCAUUCACAAAGGCAAUGUACUUAAGAGUCGUGCAGGAUCAUGAGCACGCGUUGAAAAACGAGCCUUAUUAACCACAGAGACAACGCUCAAACCAGUCAUGAGGGGUUUGCUAAAGAGCAUAUAGAGAACGCCAAAGGCGACAAACCAUGCCGGCUGGAAAAGAAUACCCAAGUGGUGGCUACAUGUAGGAUUGUUGACAUCAAGCUGAGAGAGAGAGAGAGAGAUAGAUAGAUAGAGAGAGAGAGAGCCUAUGUUGGCAAACAGAAGCACAUCGAAAAGUGUUCCAAAAGUGGUCAUCUGGGCCAUACAGGAGCAAAUGUCUCAUCGUAGUCAUGACUAUGUUCUCACCACUAGACGUGGUUUGUAGAGCUCUAGAGUAACAUCAUAGUCUCACCCUUGUGGGCCUAGUUACAAGUAAUGAGACGAGCAAGAGGAGGAAGGGAAAUGAGAUUCCACCAGCCGGCGAGGUGAAGAGCAUUUGAUGCCAUCACAUGCUGCCAUUGUGGAUGAAAAAAAUGUCAUGAUAAGAAGUCUUCUUGUGAAGAGCACCGCAAUAACUAACCAUAGCAGUCAAUAGGCAGAAGCCGGCGAGCUCGAAAGCCAUAAGUAGGCUGAUCUGGAGCUAUGUGUUGCCAACAGAAGAAGACAUAGUAGUUGAGGGAGAUGACUCAUUAUAAGAAUCCACAACACGCGAACAAUGAGUGUAGUAAAGUCAAGGAAGAUGAGCCUAAGAAGGAACAUGCAAGACAAACUGCCAAGAGUACCUCGACUAUCGACUGGCAGGGAAGUUACAUUGACAGUAAAAACAUGAACAUGAGAAUCUAGAUGUGGAAUACGCAAGUGGUGGCUGCACGUAAAACCCCUGACAAAAUUCACCAUUAAAAAAGUCUUUGUUAACAUCAAGCCGAGACGGAGUGACGAAUAAAGGCCGCAACAAGAUGUGUGUGAACAAUUGUCGUAUGGCCCGCAUGAGCUGAAACUCUCAUCGUAAUUAGGACCAUGAUUCUACUAAAAGCCACGAGCCACAAGACGAGCUUUGUAAUGUUCAAGAGAACCAUCAGAGCGAGUCUUAACCUUGUUGACGCACCAAGUAAUGGGACGAACACGAGGAGGAAGGGACACAAUAUCCGAUGUGCUGAUGUGCUCAACAGUAGCAAUAUCCUCUACCAUGGCAAGGCGCCAUUUGGUAUGAAUAACAUCAAGAUAAGAAGUCUGCUCAAGAAAGUGGCGCCAACGUUUCAUAGCCUAAGGCGGUCCACAGGCAAAAGUGGACGAGGUCGCAAGCAAUAAGAAGGCCGAGACGGAGAAGAUGGCACAUCAGUAGAUGCAUCCACAACACAUGAACGACGUGUUUAAAAGUGAGGCAAAUGUGGAAGAAUACGAGCAAUAAUCCCCGAGAUAAGCUCAGGUUAUGGAGACAAGGAAGUCACCGGUGAUGAAGGUUUAGAAUCCCGUGAUAAGCGAAGUGAGGAAAUCAUAGGAGAUGAUGGUGCUGAAUCUGUAAUAAUUGGAGAAGCAGGAGCAGUACGAGGAAUGGAAUAGGGCUCAACGAUAGUGAUAAGAAUGUCGGGAAAAGUGAGGUAACACAUCCUCCACUAAAAAGGUCGGGGAUGAUGGUCACACGUAGCAGGGACGAGACUCACUAAAAGUCAUACCGUGAGAAAUAGUCACCCGAUGACCAACCUGAUCCCAACAACAAUAUCUCUUAUGCUCAUUGUUGUAUCCUAUGAACACUCAACAUACUAAGUAGUAAGUUUGGUACAUUGACGAGAGGCAGUAAGGGCACAUCAAACACAACCAAACAAUUGAAGCGCUGAAUAAUCUGGAAACGAUCAAAUAGACUCUUGAAAGGAGAUGACCAUGGUGGAAGUGGAGACGCAUUCAACCCAAAGGUGUGGCCUAAGAGAAGCAGUGACCAUCCAAAAGUGUGGCGGAAGAGAGAGCAGUGAAAUUGAACCUAUGAGCCGUCUCAAUAGUUGACGAUGCUUGCCCUCAGCCAUGCCAUUUCUGAGCAUGAGCACCAAGAUAAGAGAACUGAGCAAGAGCACCCUGCUCAACAAGGAUUGAGCGCAACAUCUUGGAGAUAUAUUCUCCAUCAAAGUCAUCACAGAAUACAAGAAUAGGCGGUGAGAGAUACUAUGUUGGCAAACAGAAGCCACAUCGAAAAGUGUGCCAAAAGUGGUCAUCUGGGCCAUACAGGAGCAAAUGUCUCAUCAUAGUCAUGGCUAUAUGUUCUCACCACUAGAUGAGCUUUGUAAAGCUCUAGAGAAACUUCAUAGUCUCACCCUUUCAUGUCAUCACAUGCUGCCAUUAUGGAUGAAAAAACGUCAUGAUAAGAAGUCGUCUUGCGAAGAGCACCACAAUAACUAACCAUAGCAGUCAAAAGGCAGUAGUAGGCGAGCUCGAAAGCCAUAAGUAGGCUGAUCUGGAGCUAUGUGUUGCCAACAGAAGAAUACAUAAUAAUCGAGGGAGUUGACUCAUUAGAAGAAUCCACAACACGGGAACUGUGAGUGUAGUAAAGU